AAAAUGCGAUACGUAAUGUGAAUUGCAGAACUCAGUGAAUCAUCAAAAUUUUGAACGCAAAUUGCGCUAGUAGUAAUACUAGCACACUUGUUUGAGUGUUGUUUAAUAAAAAUACAUUUAUUAAAUGGAAAUUAAUAAUCCUACGUUCUGUGAUUAUUUAAAUAUUUAUUAUCAAUAUAAUUUUAAACUCUUAACAUUAUACUGUAUAAAAUCUUUAAUAUUUGAUUAUCAACCUCAAAUCAAGUGAGACUACCCGCUGAAUUUAA
This 266-nucleotide unclassified non-coding RNA is filed under the name uncultured fungus. RNAcentral's name for it is "sequence contains ITS1". The stretch from base 1 to 101 matches the Rfam family "5.8S ribosomal RNA", at positions 50 to 154 of the family's 154-position model. The record is from RNAcentral. Lineage: Eukaryota; Fungi.